This 927-nucleotide small RNA is filed under the name Pan troglodytes (chimpanzee). RNAcentral's name for it is "retained intron". The record is from RNAcentral. Lineage: Eukaryota; Metazoa; Chordata; Mammalia; Primates; Hominidae.
AGGGUGUGGCGCGAGCAGCGUCGUUGGUUGGCCGGCGGCGGGCCGGGACGGGCAUGGCCCUGCUGCUGUGCCUGGUGAGCCUGACGGCGGCGCUGGCCCACGGCUGUCUGCACUGCCACAGCAACUUCUCCAAGAAGUUCUCCUUCUACCGCCACCAUGUGAACUUCAAGUCCUGGUGGGUGGGCGACAUCCCCGUGUCAGGGGCGCUGCUCACCGACUGGAACGACGACACGAUGAAGGAGCUGCACCUGGCCAUCCCCGCCAAGAUCACCCGGGAGAAGCUGGACCAAGUGGCGACAGCAGUGUACCAGAUGAUGGAUCAGCUCUACCAGGGGAAGAUGUACUUCCCCGGUAAGGGGCGCGAAACCGAGGCGGGGCCCCCCAACCCCGGGACACCCCGCCCACCGCCUGAGCCUGACCUUCUCCUGCCUCGACUCCUCAGGGUAUUUCCCCAACGAGCUGCGAAACAUCUUCCGGGAGCAGGUGCACCUCAUCCAGAACGCCAUCAUCGAAAGCCGCAUCGACUGUCAGCACCGCUGUGGUAAGCAAGGCUCCGUCCAGGCUGAGGGGCGCGCCGGUGGCAGCUCGGGGCCCUGGAGGCCGAGGGGAGCCCUGGCGGCUCUCGUGUGUUUCAGGCAUCUUCCAGUACGAGACCAUCUCCUGCAACAACUGCACAGACUCGCACGUCACCUGCUUUGGCUAUAACUGCGAGUCCUCGGCGCAGUGGAAGUCAGCUGUCCAGGGCCUCCUGAACUACAUAAAUAACUGGCACAAACAGGACACGAGCAUGAGACCACGCUCCUCUGCCUUCUUCUGGCCUGGGACACACACAGCCACCCCAGCCUUGUGAGUGACCCAGAGAAGGGAGGCCUCGGGAGAAAGGGUGCUCCUAAGCCAACACCAGCGUGCCGCGGCCUGCACACCCUU